RNAcentral lists this ribosomal RNA (759 nucleotides) under uncultured bacterium. RNAcentral's name for it is "bacterial SSU rRNA". It matches the Rfam family "Bacterial small subunit ribosomal RNA", at positions 59 to 818 of the family's 1533-position model. The record is from RNAcentral.
CAGUCGAACGAAGCACUUAUCUUUGAUUCUUCGGAUGAAGAGGUUUGUGACCGUUUGGCGGACGGGUGAGUAACGCGUGGGUAACCUGCCUCAUACAGGGGGAUAACAGUUAGAAAUGACUGCUAAUACCGCAUAAGACCACGGAGCCGCAUGGCUCAGUGGGAAAAACUCCGGUGGUAUGAGAUGGACCCGCGUCUGAUUAGGUAGUUGGUGGGGUAACGGCCUACCAAGCCAACGAUCAGUAGCCGACCUGAGAGGGUGACCGGCCACAUUGGGACUGAGACACGGCCCAAACUCCUACGGGAGGCAGCAGUGGGGAAUAUUGCACAAUGGGGGAAACCCUGAUGCAGCGACGCCGCGUGAGCGAAGAAGUAUUUCGGUAUGUAAAGCUCUAUCAGCAGGGAAGAAAAUGACGGUACCUGACUAAGAAGCACCGGCUAAAUACGUGCCAGCAGCCGCGGUAAUACGUAUGGUGCAAGCGUUAUCCGGAUUUACUGGGUGUAAAGGGAGCGUAGACGGCUGUGUAAGUCUGAAGUGAAAGCCCGGGGCUCAACCCCGGGACUGCUUUGGAAACUAUGCAGCUAGAGUGUCGGAGAGGUAAGUGGAAUUCCCAGUGUAGCGGUGAAAUGCGUAGAUAUUGGGAGGAACACCAGUGGCGAAGGCGGCUUACUGGACGAUGACUGACGUUGAGGCUCGAAAGCGUGGGGAGCAAACAGGAUUAGAUACCCUGGUAGUCCACGCCGUANACGAUGACUACUA